This 460-nucleotide ribosomal RNA is filed under the name uncultured bacterium. RNAcentral's name for it is "partial 16S ribosomal RNA". It matches the Rfam family "Bacterial small subunit ribosomal RNA", at positions 338 to 795 of the family's 1533-position model. The record is from RNAcentral.
CCUACGGGUGGCAGCAGUGAGGAAUAUUGGUCAAUGGACGAGAGUCUGAACCAGCCAAGUAGCGUGAAGGAUGACUGCCCUAUGGGUUGUAAACUUCUUUUAUAUGGGAUUAAACUGUUCCCCGUGGGGGUUUUUGUUUGUACCUUAUGAUUAAGGAUCGGCUAACUCCGUGCCAGCAGCCGCGGUAAUACGGAGGAUCCGAGCGUUAUCCGGAUUUAUUGGGUUUAAAGGGAGCGUAGGUGGAUUGUUAGGUCAGUUGUGAAAGUUUGCGGCUCAACCGUAAAAUUGCAGUUGAAACUGGCAGUCUUGAGUACAGUAGAGGUGGGCGGAAUUCGUGGUGUAGCGGUGAAAUGCUUAGAUAUCACGAAGAACUCCGAUUGCGAAGGCAGCUCACUGGACUGCAACUGACACUGAGGCUCGAAAGUGUGGGUAUCAAACAGGAUUAGAUACCCCUGUAGUC